Molecule: long non-coding RNA, 7253 nt
Organism: Chenopodium quinoa (quinoa)
Lineage: Eukaryota; Viridiplantae; Streptophyta; Magnoliopsida; Caryophyllales; Amaranthaceae
Exons: 2
Source: RefSeq, a predicted model, not a curated record
ACGCGACAGUCGUACCAAAUUUUGGCGCCGUUGCCGGGGAAUUGGCUAUUUAUUACAUUAUUACUUGUAUUUUUGGUAGAAACGCGACAGUCGUACCAAAUUUCUAGUUCCAUGUUUGUUUAUGUGUGACAAAAAUUCGAAGAAACAAAGAUUAAGGGAAUUUGCAGCAAGGAACCAAGGACUAAUAAUUAAUCAUUUUUCUAUGUCUUUUGUAUUUAAAAGGACUCGUGCUUAGAUAUUGGAGCAAGCUUGUUAGAUUUCGUUGCCCUAAGUGAGAGUUCAUUAUCUUUGGAAAAGGAAACUGAAGAAAUUUUUGAGAUGGCUGACGGUACCUUAAAGCAGCUUGCUUUUCCUACCUUUGAUCCUAAUAUGCUCAACAUAUUAGAUGGUGAGACAGAAUGUGAGAUUAAGCCUAGAUUGAUUAGAGCAUUACCCACAUUUUUAGGCUUCCGCAAUACUAGCUCCUUGGGUUCAGUUUACAUGAAUGAGGCGAACAGAUUCUUGAAAUAAUUUCACAUAGCAUGUGCGGGGAUGAAACCUGAUAGUUAACCCUUGACCAGCUCAAGUUAAAGGCAUUUCCUUUUGCUUUGACUGAUGCUGCCAAGGAGUGGUUGUUCGGACUUCCUACAGGAACCAUCACAACCUGGACUCAGAUGCAAGAAAAAUUCAUAGAAAAAUAUUUUCCGGCAUCUUUGGCAACAAACAUUAGAAAAGAAAUAUGUGGGAUUCGACAAGAAGAUGUAGAGUCACUUCAUGAGUAUUGAGAGCGUUUCAAAAAGUUAUAUGACAGCUGUCCUAAUCAUCAGAUCAAUGAGCAAUUGCUAGUGCAAUACUUUUAUGAAGGGCUCACGGAGUCGGAUCGGAACUUAAUUGAUGCUGCAAGUGGUGGAGCAAUGGUUGAUAAGACACCCGCAGAUGCAAAGAUACUGAUAGCGAACAUGGGAGCAAACUCUCAGUAUCGAGGAGGUCGAAAUAUCAAGUCACUUUUGAACGUCAAGUUAAUGAAGUGGUGAGUUCUAACCUCGAGCAACAAGUAGCUAAACUCACUUCCUUAGUGGAGCGAAUAAUGAUAAAAAAAAGGGGCAAGAAAUAGCAUGUGGCAUCUGUAUAAUGGUAGGACACCCAAUUGAUAUGUGCCCCACUAUGCAAGAGGAACAAGUGAAUUCUAUUGGUGGUGGUCAGGGGUAGCAAAGACGUUAUGAUUGAUUCUCUCAAACUUAUAAUCCGGGGUGGAGAAAUCAUCCAAACGUGAGAUAUGUUCAACAACAGACAGGCAACUCCAACCUCAGAAAAUCAGCUUUCCAUCAACAACAAGCAUCUAAUCCUCCACCUGGUUUUCAUCAGCAACCACAAUAUCAGCCGCGACCUCAAAAUUAGCAAGUUUCCCAGCCACAAUCUGGUAGCAUGUCUCUGGAAGAUAUCGUGAAGGCAAUGGCUGACAACACUUUGCAUUUUCAGCAAGAAACAAGAAGUGGUCUAAAAAACUUGGAGAACCAAGUUUCUCAGUUAGCUAACACAGUGGGAAAGCUCCAAGCUCAGAGUUCUAACAAGUUGCCAAGUCAACCAGAGAGAAAUCCAAAGGAUAACGCAAGUGCAAUAUCACUUAGAAGUGGCAAUUCAAGCAAUUAGAGGUCCAAGCGAAAACGACUGAAGUGCUGGCUGAACACCAAGAGGAACAUGAGACCAUUGUUCCAGAAAAAGAUGAGCAGCCCUCUAAGGUAAGUGAUGUUGUUUCAUCCAAAACUGACCAUUUUUCUUCUUCUGUACCUUUCCCUAGCAGGUUGUCAUCUAAGGAUAAAAAGAAAGAGAUGGAGAAAGAGGUGCUAGAUGUAUUUCGCAAGGUAGAGGUGAAUAUACUUUUACUGGAAGCCGUUAGACAAGUGCCACGGUAUGCAAAGUUCUUGAAGGAGUUGUGCACUAACAAGAGGAGAUUGAGUGGAGAUGAAAAAUUCAAUGUAAGUAAGAAUGUUUCUGCUAUUUUACAGAGGAAAGUUCCUCCCAAGUGCAAGGAUCCAGGUAUUUUUACUAUGUCUUGUAAAAUAGGUAACAAGAGAUACGAUAAAUGUAUGAAAGACUUAGGAGCUUCUACUAAUGUCAUGCCUUUAUAUAUCUAUAAAGCUCUGAACUUAGGACCUUUGAAAGACACUCGAGUGAUUAUUCAGCUUGCCGACCGUUCUAAUACAUACCCUGUAUGAGUAGUUGAGGAUGUCUUAGUGCAAGUGAAUGAAUUAGUAUUUCCUGCUGACUUUUAUGUUUUAGAUAUGCCAAAUGAUGAAUCCCAUAGUACAACACCUAUCUUAUUAGGAAGACCUUUUCUGAAAACAUCCAGAACUAAAAUUGAUGUUCAUAGUGGGGUGUUUGACCAUGGAAUUCGAUGGGGAGGUCAUACGGUUUAAUUUAUUCAAUGCAAUGAGAUAUCCUGCUGAUUAUGAAUCUGUUUCUAGGAUAGAUAUUGUUGAUAUUCUAACUGAACAGGUUCAAUUUAUUUCAAGUCAAGAUGCGUUAGACUUUGUUUUAACUGCACUUAUGGAAAAAGAAAAAUAUGCUGACUUGCAAGAACAUUUUGAGCUUAAGGGUGAAGUUAAGGAAGCUUUUUCCUCUCUGGAAAUACUUCCCGAAAAGAAAUUAAGGUAUGACAAUCGGUUUAUGCAGUUACCGAUCACUUCUAACAUAUUGUUACCUUCUAUUAUGUUUUUUAGGCAAAAAUAACACUCUUCCCGUCAUAAUCGUGAGUAAUCUAACUCCGACUCAAGAGCAAAAGCUGGUGCAAGUUCAUAGGGAGCAUAAAACAGCUCUAGGGUGGACAGUUGCUGAUAUAAAAGGAAUUAGCCCCUAUAUGUGUCAGCAUAGAAUCUUAUUAGAAGAGGGAGCUAAACCAGUGCGGCAAGUGCAAAGGCGACUUAAUCCACCUAUGAUGGAAGUGGUGAAGAAAGAAGUAAUGAAGCUUCUUGAAGUAGGGGUGAUAUACCCUAUAUCAGAUAGCCCUUGGGUCAGUCCCUUGCAAGUGGUCCCAAAAAAGUCAGGAGUCAUAAUGGUGGAAGACGAUAAGGGAGAAAUGGUACCCACCCGAGUGCAAAAUGGGUGGAGAGUUUGUGUAGAUUACUGAAAACUUAAUUCUAUGACUCGAAAAGAUCAUUUUCCCUUACCCUUUAUUAAUUAAAUGGUAGAACGUCUUGCUGGUCAUGCUUAUUAAUGUUUUCUUGACGGAUAUUGAGGUUAUGUGCAGGUCCCUAUAGCUCCGGAAGAUCAAGAAAAAACGACGUUCACAUGCCAGUAUGACACAUUUAUGUAUUGUUGUAUGCCAUUUGGGUUGUGCAAUGCUCCAGCGACUUUUCAGAGAUGUAUGGAAAGCAUCUUUUCAGAUCAUCUUGAAAAUUUCAUAGAAGUUUUCAUGGAUGAUUUCACUAUACAUGGAGAUUCUUUUGAUAGUUGCUUAAAACACCUCACUUUAGUUCUUAAACGUUGUCUUAGCUCGAAACUAACCUUGUGCUUAAUUUUGAAAAAUGUCAUUUCAUGGUUCAACAAGGUAUAGUUUUAGGCCAUUUUGUGUCUUCUAAAGGAAUAAAAGUCGAUAAAGCUAAAAUUGAUCUUAUUUCUUCUCUGCCUUACCCCGCCUCUGUGCGAGAAGUUCGUUAUUUUAUUGGCUAUGCAGGUUUCUAUCGAAGGUUUAUUGAAAGCUUUUCGAAGAUUGCACAACCACUAUGUAGACUACUCCAAAAAGAUGUGGAGUUCCACUUUGAUGAGGCCUAUAAGCAAGCAUUUGACAAGCUGAAAGACAAGUUGAUCACUGCCCCUGUUCUGCAACCUCCUAACUAGGAGCUUCCAUUCAAAUUAAUGUGCGACGAGUCCAAUUAUGCUGUAAGGCCAGUACUAGGCCAACGAGUUGGAAAAGUUCCCCAUGCCAUUUACUAUGCCUCGAGGACUUUGGAUGCAGCUCAAGCUAAUUAUACUACAACUGAGAAAGAACUUUUAGCUGUAGUUUUUGCUUUAGACAAAUUCAGGUCUUAUUUAUUGGGUACUAAAAUUGUUGUGUUUACUGAUCAUGCAGCGUUAAAAUAUUUAUGGUCAAAAGAUGUAUCCAAACCUAGGCUAAUAAAUUGGAUUUUAUUGCUUCAACAAUUUAAUGUUGAAGCAAUAGAUAAAAAAGGUUAUGACAAUAGUGUUGCUGGUCAUUUAAGCAGGUUAGUUGGGGAAGCUGAUGAAGGUAAAGCUCUAAUCAAUGAAGAGCUCCCUGACGAGAAACUUCAUGCCUUGAAUUCAGGAACUCCGUGGUAUGCUAAUUUGGUGAAUUUUCUAGUAUUUGGGAAGUUUCUAGCCAGCUACACCAAUGCACAAAAGGACCGGAUGCAAAACAUAGCAAAGAACUACAUAUGGGAUGACACAUAUCUCUGAAAAUUUUGUGCUGAUCAACUGAUCAAAAGGUGCGUACCUGAUUCCGAAUUUCUUUCUAUACUAACUUUCUGCCAUUCUUAUGCAUGUGGGGGACAUUUUGGACCAAAGAGAACCGCAUGCAAGGUUUUAGAGAGCGAAUUCUACUGGCCAUCCAUAUUUAAAGACGCAUACGAAAUUUGUAAGGCAUGUGAUAUUUGUCAAAGAACAAGUACACUAGGUCCUAGGAAUGAAAUGCCCCAGACUCCUAUUUUAAUAUGUGAAAUCUUUGACGUUUGGGGUAUGGAUUUCAUGGGACCCUUCCCCUCUUCUUUCGGUUUUCAAUAUAUUUUUCUGGCUGUCGAUUAUGUUUCGAAAUGGGUGGAAGCUAUAGCCACCCGUAUUGAUGAUUCUAAAGUGGUUACAUAAUAUUUGAAAUUGAACAUUAUUGCUAGAUACGGAUUUCUGAGGGCUAUUAUCAACGAUAAGGGGACACAAUUCUGUAAUAUAACCGUAAGGGAUCUUUUACAGAAGUACAAUGUGUUCCAUAGAGUCUCCACAGCAUACCACCCGUAAACAAAUGGACAAGCUAAAGUUUCCAACCGGAAAAUCAAAUCCAUUCUGGAGAAGACUGUGAAUCCAACUAGGAAAGAUUGGAGUCUCCGCCUCAACGAUGCUCUGUGGGCGUACAAAACAGCGUAUAAAACACCGAUUGGGAUGUCUCAUUACAGGCUAGUGUUCGGCAAACCUUGUCACCUUCUAGUAGAAUUGGAACACAAAGCCUUUUGGGUCGUGAAGCAAUGCAAUAUGGAGAUGGAUGCAGCAGGUGAGCAAAGGAAACUUCAGUUACAAGAGCUUGAGGAAAUCCGAAAUGAUGCUUAUGAGAACACGAGAAUUUAUAAGGAGAAGACUAAGGCAUUUCAUGAUGAGCGCAUCACACGAAAGAAAUUUACAAUGGGGCAGAAAGUUCUCUUAUACCACUCUCGGCUCAAACUUUUCCUGGUAAACUUCGUUCACGAUGGGUAGGGCCAUUUGUUGUUACCAAGGUAUAUGACCAUGGUGCGGUGGAGAUUCGUUGUGAGGACACAGGGAAGGAAUUUAAGGUGAACGGUCAUCAACUCAAGCCUUAUUAUGAAGGUUAUCAGGUCCAGAACAUUAAAGUGAUGGAGUUAAAAGCUCCAAGUUAUGAAGACUAGUAUGCUAGAAAGAUGUCGAGCUAACUACGAUAAAUAAAGCGCUCUUGGGAGGCAGCCCAAGUUUAGGAUUAUAACAUGAUUGUUUUUCAUUUUUAUUUUCAUAAUUUUAUUUUAACUGUUAUGUAGUGUGUAAAAAAAAUAAAAAUAAAAAACAGAGAGCUUCCAGAUUUCUGAUACGCUUAUUUUCAAAUCCUUCAUAAUCUUCUGGAAACAGACACAUUUAAUUUGCGUGAAAUUGGUAUUGUUUGUUACAGGCCACAUUUAAUGGAGAACAGACAUAUGCUGCUAGAUUCAGAGGUGUGAAAUAUCUAACAUUGUGUGGGUAGUCAUUUCAGCAACCUAGGAGUGUGCAACGAGAAUAUGGAGGCAUUUUACAUAAAGACACAUUCACCUCCACUGCUAUCUAGCUGUAGCAUAAGCAUUUUUUUUUAGAAGAUUGACAGUGCAGUUGAGCAACUCCAAUGUGUUUAAAGCAAGACUUUAUGAGCAAGUCCAAGCUUGGGGGGAUGUCAUCAGGCUAGCUACACGAAAGGAAGAUUUUGGUAUCAAAGUGCAAUUUACCAAUGUUUGGGUUAAAAGUAGCAAAUAGCCACGUGGGCUUUAAAGUACAUCAAUUCCACUCUUUCAAAACAAUCUAAAAUAGGAGCAGCUCAAAACCUUUCAAUUACCUCAUUGUUCUUGCGGUUAAACCACAAAUAUAACUCCCGCCAAUUCUUGCGGAAUCAACUCUAAAAACAGAAGAUAAGGAUGAAAUCAGAUGAGGAUGAGAGCAAGAAAUUCGGGAUAGGAAAAGAUCCAAAAAGCAAAAGAGGUGUAUUUUGGCAAUCCGGGGGGAGAAAUUUUGGAACUUAUCUUGAGAGCUUAUUGGCAGCAAAAAUUAGCAACAAACGAGAGGAAAACCAGCAGCGUUUUGGAGCUCUAAUUGCUACGAAAUCAACAAAUUUGGUGGGGUUGAAAACUGUACUUUGUGGCGACACUCUCGAGGACAUCUGGGUAGUUUUUUGGCUGCAGCAACGAAACUUGGUGGGAGUACCGUUCAUGGUUCUUUCAUCCAUCAAUUUGGUAUUCUUACUUUAAUUGAUUGUUUAUAAAUUUUGCACUGAGAAUUUCAGUUCAUGGGUAAUUGUUAAGUUAUUUUUGUCUUUAAUAUUUCAUUCGGUUAUUAGAUCUUGUCAAAUAAUUUUACCAUUUGUUCCAUUAUAGUUAUUUAUCUUCUACUUCAGAAAUAUAUAUAAGAGUCAUUGUUAGUACUUCAAUUCUUGAUAUGUUAGGCUAGAUUACUAGUGGGUACGGGGAAUUAUUAUACAUUGGAUUAUUGUAUUGUGAGAAUAAGAAUGUGGUAAUUUGAUAGUAUUAUGUUUAUAUCUUGAUUGGAUUGAUAAUUUGUUUUAUUGGUAAUAAUUAGUUAAAUAUUCUAGACCGGCCAUCUUUAGUUUAGUUUGCUAGUUUAAUUGUUAGAAUAUUAAUUUGUGAUACGUAAUUGUCCGGAUUAUUACUCUUUAGUACCACUUAGGUGUUUGAUAGGUGACUAAAAUUUGCCCGAUGCCUAUGAUUAUCAACCCUUUAAGCUGCACGAAUCCGAGCUCGUGAGAUUUGUGGCUUAAGUUAGCUACUUCCUAGUUAUUAAUGCUGCUAAUUAAUCGAGUCUAGAGAGCUUGUUCUAGAUUGUUAGUUAGUUAGACAAUACUC